AGGUCAAGCUACAAAGGGCGUAUGGUGAAUGCCUUGGCAUCAGGAGCCGAUGAAGGACGCGAUAAGCUGCGAUAAGCUUCGGGUAGACGCACAUAGUCAGAGAUCCGAAGAUUUCCGAAUGAGGAAACUCACAUGGGAAACCCCAUGUAUCUUAAAGUGAAUACAUAGCUUUAUGAAGGUAAACCCAGGGAACUGAAACAUCUAAGUACCUGGAGGAAGAGAAAGAAAAAUCGAUUUUCUUAGUAGCGGCGAGCGAAAAGGAAAGAGCCCAAACCAGAAAUUUAUUUCUGGGGUUGCGGACAGAACAUAACGAGCAAUCAUGGUUAAUCGAACAUAACUGGAAAGUUAGACCGUAGGGGGUAAUAGUCCCGUAGAUGAAAAUUAUGACAAUCAGUUCUGCACCAGAGUACCACGAGACACGUGAAACCUUGUGGGAAGCAGGGAGGACCACCUCCCAAGGCUAAAUACUACCUGAUGACCGAUAGUGAAGCAGUACCGUGAGGGAAAGGUGAAAAGAACCCCGGGAGGGGAGUGAAAUAGAACCUGAAACCAUAUGCCUACAACCGAUCAAAGCACCAUAUGUGUGUGAUGAUGUGCUUUUUGUAGAACGAGCCAACGAGUUACGGUAUGUAGCGAGGUUAAGUACUUAAGGUACGGAGCCGAAGGGAAACCAAGUCUUAAUAGGGCGACUAGUUGCAUGCUGUAGACCCGAAACCGGGUGACCUAUCCAUGGCCAGGUUGAAGCGAGGGUAAAACCUCGUGGAGGACCGAACCACGUUGCUGUUGAAAAAGCAUGGGAUGAGCUGUGGAUAGCGGAGAAAUUCCAAUCGAACUCGGAUAUAGCUGGUUCUCCUCGAAAUAGCUUUAGGGCUAGCGUCGGAAAAUGUGAGUAGUGGAGGUAGAGCACUGAAUAGGCUAGGGGGCAUAGCGCUUACCGAACCUUAUCAAACUCCGAAUGCCAUAUACUAUCAGUCCGGCAGUCAGACUGUGAAAGAUAAGUUCCAUGGUCAAAAGGGAAACAGCCCAGAUCGUCAGCUAAGGUCCCAAAGUGUAAGUUAAGUGGAAAAGGAUGUGGGAUUUCUAAGACAACUAGGAUGUUGGCUUAGAAGCAGCCACUCAUUAAAAGAGUGCGUAAUAGCUCACUAGUCAAGAGAUCCUGCGCCGAAAAUGUCCGGGGCUCAAACUUACCACCGAAGCUACGGGUUCACAAUUUAUUGUGAGCGGUAGAGGAGCGUCGUAAUCGGGCUGAAGUCGUACCGUAAGGAGCGGUGGACUGAUUACGAGUGAGAAUGUUGGCAUUAGUAGCGAGAUGUAAGUGAGAAUCUUACAGGCCGAAUAUCUAAGGUUUCCUGAGUAAAGUUUGUCUUCUCAGGGUUAGUCGGGACCUAAGGCGAGGCCGAAAGGCGUAGUCGAUGGACAAUUGGUUGAUAUUCCAAUACCACUACAAUCGUUAUUAUCGAUGGUGUGACGGAGAAGGAUAGGAUGUGCUAGCUAUUGGAUGCUAGUCUAAGCGUUUAGGGAGUUAGGAUAGGCAAAUCCGUUCUAACAAUUCUGAGGCGUGAUGGGGAAGGUUCUACGGAACCGAAGUAUCUGAUUCCAUGCUUCCAAGAAAAGCAUCUAGAAAGAGAAGUAGUGCCCGUACCGCAAACCGACACAGGUAGAUGAGGAGAGAAUCCUAAGGCCGACGGAAGAAUUGCAGUUAAGGAACUAGGCAAAUUGACCCCGUAACUUCGGGAGAAGGGGUGCCUGCAGCAAUGCAGGCCGCAGAGAAUAGGCACAAGCAACUGUUUAACAAAAACACAGGUCUCUGCUAAAGCGUAAGCUGAUGUAUAGGGGCUGACGCCUGCCCGGUGCUGGAAGGUUAAGGGGAAUGCUUAGCGGUAACGCGAAGGUGUGAACUUAAGCCCCAGUAAACGGCGGCCGUAACUAUAACGGUCCUAAGGUAGCGAAAUUCCUUGUCAGGUAAGUUCUGACCCGCACGAAUGGCGUAAUGACUUGUGCACUGUCUCAACUGCAAAUCCGGCGAAGUUGUAGUGCGAGUGAAGAUGCUCGCUACCCGCGAUUGGACGGAAAGACCCCGUAGAGCUUUACUGUAGCUUAGCAUUGAAUUUCGGUAUUGUCUGUACAGGAUAGGUGGGAGACUGGGAAACCAGAGCGUCAGCUUUGGUGGAGUCGUUGUUGGGAUACCACCCUGAUAGUAUUGAAGUUCUAACUGGAUGCCAUGAAACUGGUGACAGGACAUUGUUAGGUGGGCAGUUUGACUGGGGCGGUCGCCUCCUAAAAUGUAACGGAGGCGCCCAAAGGUUCCCUCAGAACGGUCGGAAAUCGUUCGAAGAGUGCAAAGGCAGAAGGGAGCCUGACUGCGACACCUACAAGUGGAGCAGGGACGAAAGUCGGGCUUAGUGAUCCGGUGGUACCUCGUGGGAGGGCCAUCGCUCAACGGAUAAAAGCUACCUCGGGGAUAACAGGCUGAUCUCCCCAAGAGUUCACAUCGACGGGGAGGUUUGGCACCUCGAUGUCGGCUCGUCGCAUCCUGGGGCUGAAGUAGGUCCCAAGGGUUGGGCUGUUCGCCCAUUAAAGCGGCACGCGAGCUGGGUUCAGAACGUCGUGAGACAGUUCGGUCCCUAUCCGUCGCGGGCGUAGGAAAUUUGAGAGGAGCUGUCCUUAGUACGAGAGGACCGGGAUGGACUGACCUAUGGUGUACCAGUUGUUUCGCCAGAAGCAUAGCUGGGUAGCUAAGUCGGGAAUGGAUAAACGCUGAAAGCAUCUAAGUGUGAAGCCAACCUCAAGAUUAGAUUUCCCAUAGCGUAAGCUAGUAAGACCCCUUGAAGACUACAAGGUUGAUAGGUCAGAGGUGUAAGUAUGGUAACAUAUUUAGCUGACUGAUACUAAUAGGUCGAGGGCUUGACCAAU
RNAcentral lists this ribosomal RNA (2913 nucleotides) under Clostridium beijerinckii. RNAcentral's name for it is "bacterial LSU rRNA". It matches the Rfam family "Bacterial large subunit ribosomal RNA". Lineage: Bacteria; Bacillati; Bacillota; Clostridia; Eubacteriales; Clostridiaceae. The record is from RNAcentral.